RNAcentral lists this ribosomal RNA (439 nucleotides) under uncultured bacterium. RNAcentral's name for it is "partial 16S ribosomal RNA". It matches the Rfam family "Bacterial small subunit ribosomal RNA", at positions 339 to 795 of the family's 1533-position model. The record is from RNAcentral.
CUACGGGUGGCUGCAGUGAGGAAUAUUGCACAAUGGGGGGAACCCUGAUGCAGCAACGCCGCGUGGAGGAUGACGCAUUUCGGUGUGUAAACUCCUUUUAUAUGUCAAGAAAAUGACGGUAGCAUAUGAAUAAGCACCGGCUAACUCCGUGCCAGCAGCCGCGGUAAUACGGAGGGUGCAAGCGUUACUCGGAAUCACUGGGCGUAAAGGACGCGUAGGCGGGUUGGAAAGUCAGGUGUGAAAUCCUACAGCUUAACUGUAGAACUGCACUUGAAACUUCUAAUCUAGAGUAUGGGAGGGGGAGAUGGAAUUAGUGGUGUAGGGGUAACAUCCGUAGAUAUCACUAGGAAUACCUAAAGCGAAGGCGAUCUCCUGGAACAUUACUGACGCUAAGGCGUGAAAGCGUGGGGAGCAAACAGGAUUAGAUACCCCGGUAGUC